UACGAGGGGGGCGAGCGUUGUUCGGAAUUAUUGGGCGUAAAGAGCGUGUAGGCGGCCAGGUAGGUCAGCUGUGAAAACUCGAGGCUCAACCUCGAGACGCCGGUUGAAACCAUCUGGCUAGAGUCCGGAAGAGGAGAGUGGAAUUCCUGGUGUAGUGGUGAAAUGCGCAGAUAUCAGGAAGAACACCCGUGGCGAAGGCGGCUCUCUAGUACGGUACUGACGCUGAGACGCGAAAGCGUGGGGAGCGAACAGG
This 253-nucleotide ribosomal RNA is filed under the name uncultured bacterium. Its description in RNAcentral is "partial 16S ribosomal RNA". It matches the Rfam family "Bacterial small subunit ribosomal RNA", at positions 524 to 776 of the family's 1533-position model. The record is from RNAcentral.